CUCAUCGAGACCGGCUGAGGGAAAGGCCCUUUGACGCCGGGGCAACCAGCGGACCUAACCCGUCCGAAAAGGUGCCAACUCCUGCGGUGGCUGCCGGCUGCCGAAUGAUGAGG
This 113-nucleotide non-coding RNA is filed under the name marine eukaryotic metagenome. Its description in RNAcentral is "SAM riboswitch (S box leader)". It matches the Rfam family "SAM riboswitch aptamer (S box leader)". Rfam says of the family: The SAM riboswitch is found upstream of a number of genes which code for proteins involved in methionine or cysteine biosynthesis in Gram-positive bacteria. The record is from RNAcentral.